CAAUAGCGUAUAUUAACGUUGUUGCAGUUAAAAAGCUCGUAGUUGGAUUUCUGCUGAGAACGACCGGUCCGCCCUCUGGGUGUGUAUCUGGCUCUUUCUUGGCAUCUUCUUGGUGAACGUUGCUGCACUUGACUGUGUGGAGCGCUACCCAGGACUUUUACUUUGAGGAAAUUAGAGUGUUUCAAGCAGGCAUACGCCUUGAAUACAUUAGCAUGGAAUAAUAAGAUAGGACCUCGGUUCUAUUUUGUUGGUUUCUAGAGCUGAGGUAAUGAUUAAUAGGGAUAGUUGGGGGCAUUCGUAUUUAACUGUCAGAGGUGAAAUUCUUGGAUUUGUUAAAGACGGACUACUGCGAANGNAUUUGCNAAGGAUGUUUNCAUUG
This 379-nucleotide ribosomal RNA is filed under the name uncultured eukaryote. RNAcentral's name for it is "partial 18S ribosomal RNA". It matches the Rfam family "Eukaryotic small subunit ribosomal RNA", at positions 592 to 975 of the family's 1831-position model. The record is from RNAcentral.